Molecule: non-coding RNA, 30 nt
Filed under: Rattus norvegicus (Norway rat)
Lineage: Eukaryota; Metazoa; Chordata; Mammalia; Rodentia; Muridae
Source: RNAcentral
UCGGAUGAACUGUUAGCAUUGAUUACUGGG